Aegilops tauschii subsp. strangulata is the source of this 724-nucleotide non-coding RNA. The record is from RefSeq and is a predicted model, not a curated record. NCBI's taxonomy places the organism in Eukaryota, Viridiplantae, Streptophyta, Magnoliopsida, Poales, Poaceae.
UUUUUCCCACGUCCCCGUCUUUUCCUAAUCUGCGGCAUGCCAGCAUACGGUUUCGAUAGUAUUGGCGGCGGACGGCGGCAUGGUGCUCGGCGGGAUUUGGCUCGGAGUUAAGCCAUUGUUUGUCAUGCUGGUGGGGCGGCAUGGUCUCAGCAUUGGGUGGUCCGGCGGCGUGGUGUGCGGCGUCUGCAUAGGUAUUGGACCGCGCUGUGCACGGAGCGGUGGCUAGUGAUCCCACCGGAGCCGUGGCAGGUGAUCACGGCAGCGCUGCAUUGGGCUACUACAUGACAACAUUGCCACUGUUUGGAUUGAAGUUUGGUUGGGCAUGAGUGCACGGGAAGAGGAAUAUGCGACCCAUCAAUUGCACCUAUGCAACCAUCAAAGUGAGGUGCGGAUCUUGCAUCUCGAAGCCUACCAUGUACAACUCUGAACUCCGGAUCACUUGGUCGAAUGAUGUCUACAGCCAUGUCAUUCAAGCAUUUCAAUACUUCAUUGAAUUUGCGAUGUAUAACUUCGGUUGAUCUCUUGAAAUGAUUCUCCACUUGGCUUACGGAUUGAGGGCCCCCAACCGUCCAGAGAAACAUACUCAAUGCUUCUUCUGAACUCAUGUUUCUUGUUCCUUUCAAGCCAUAUUUGUGUACAAGUGUACGAUGCAACCUAUCAAAACAAGGCUUGUACAUCCUGAACAUGUUAUAGCAAUCUUUUGGACUACUCAAGUUCUCGGUAA